Molecule: ribosomal RNA, 305 nt
Filed under: uncultured bacterium
Lineage: Bacteria
Description: bacterial SSU rRNA
Rfam family: Bacterial small subunit ribosomal RNA
Source: RNAcentral
CCUACGGGGCGCAGCAGUGGGGAAUAUUGCACAAUGGGGGAAACCCUGAUGCAGCAACGCCGCGUGAGUGAAGAAGUAUUUCGGUAUGUAAAGCUCUAUCAGCAGGGAAGAAGAUGACGGUACCUGAUUAAGAAGCCCCGGCUGACUACGUGCCAGCAGCCGCGGUAAUACGUAGGGGGCAAGCGUUAUCCGGAUUUACUGGGUGUAAAGGGAGCGUAGACGGCAGCGCAAGUCUGGAGUGAAAUGCCGGGGCCCAACCCCGGAACUGCUUUGGAAACUGUGCGGAUCGCGUGCGGGGGAGGUAG